This is a non-coding RNA of Callithrix jacchus (white-tufted-ear marmoset), 1104 nucleotides long. The record is from RefSeq and is a predicted model, not a curated record. Lineage: Eukaryota; Metazoa; Chordata; Mammalia; Primates; Cebidae.
CAAAUGGAUGUCUGUUUAUCAGUCAGAGACUGCGAAACGACUCCUUAUUUUGAACACCAGACUUUCUUCUUAUUCUCAAAACUCAAAACAGCUCGGAACCUGCGCUCUUUCUGUUUGCUCCAUUUCGCUCUUUCCUCGGUGGAUAAUCCCGCAUGUAGGUAACAGAGUCCCAAGAUUCCAGGUUCCGAGAGAUGAAAGGACUCACUUGUGGAGAUUCCUGGCCGGGGCUGCCGCCCAUCUGCCCAAAGCCGCCCUUGUCACCCGCUCAGGGGGCGGCUCCUUGGUAUCCUUCCAGGGCGGCGUGUACGAGUACAGGCACGUGGAUGCGACGCGUGGGCACAGGAGCCUCUUUUCUCUUUGUCUGUCAUAUUAACACACCUGGCAGCACUUUAGGCCCGUUGGCCUGCAACUUUUUGUUUGACUGAUUUUUAAUUAUUUACUUUAAAAAAAAAUGUAGUUAAAUAUACAUGACAUAUAUUCACCGUUUGAAUUUUUGUGUGUGUUUGUUUGUUUUUGAGAUGGAGUCUUGCUCCGUCUCCCAGGCUGGAGUGCACUGGUGCAAUCUCGGCUCACUACAACCUCCGCCUCCCAGGUUAAAGCAAUUCUACUACCUCAGCCUCCCAAGUAGCUGAGAUUACAGGCACACAGCACCACGCCUGGUUAAUUUUUGUAUUUUUGUAGAGAUGGGAUUUCACCAUGUUGGGCAGGCUGGUCUCGAACUCCUGACCUCAGGUGAUCUGCCCACCUCGGCUUCCCAAAGUCCUGGGAUUACAGGUGUGAGCCACCGCUCAGCUCAGUACAUUUACAGUGUUGUGUAAUUGUCUCCACCAUCCAUCUCCAGGACUUUAUUCAUCUUGCAAAACUAAAACUCUGUCCCCAUUAAACAGUAGCCCCCACAUCCCCUGCCUCCAGCCUCUGGCAACCCCUAUUGUACUGUCGGUGCCUACAAACCUCACUUCUCUGUGCAUCUCACAUACAUGGAACCACAGUGUCUGUCCUUUUGUGUCUGGCUUCUUCCUCUUAGCAUAACGUCCUCAAGGCUCAUCGGUGUUGGAGCAUGUGUCGAGAUUUUAUGGUGUGUGAACUAUGUCUCGGUUUAAAACA